AGAGUUUGAUCAUGGCUCAGGACGAACGCUGGCGGCGUGCUUAACACAUGCAAGUCGAGCGGUAAGGCCUUUCGGGGUACACGAGCGGCGAACGGGUGAGUAACACGUGGGCAACCUGCCCCGUACUCUGGGAUAAGCCCGGGAAACUGGGUCUAAUACCGGAUAGGACCUUCGCAGGCAUCUGUGGGGGUGGAAAGUUC
RNAcentral lists this ribosomal RNA (200 nucleotides) under uncultured bacterium. RNAcentral describes it as "partial 16S ribosomal RNA". It matches the Rfam family "Bacterial small subunit ribosomal RNA", at positions 8 to 210 of the family's 1533-position model. The record is from RNAcentral.